GUCGAGAAUAAUUCACAAUGGGGGCAACCCUGAUGGUGCAACGCCGCGUGGAGGAUGACGGUCUUCGGAUUGUAAACUCCUGUCAUCCGGGAGCAAGACCUGACGGUGAAUAGCCGGCAGGGUUGAUAGUACCGGAAGAGGAAGGGACGGCUAACUUCGUGCCAGCAGCCGCGGUAAUACGAAGGUCCCGAGCGUUGUUCGGAAUCACUGGGCGUAAAGGGAGCGUAGGCGGCGUGGUAAGUCAGAUGUGAAAUCCCGGGGCUCAACCCCGGAACUGCAUCCGAUACUGCCGUGCUAGAGGAUUGGAGAGGUAGCUGGAAUUCACGGUGUAGCAGUGAAAUGCGUAGAUAUCGUGAGGAACACUCGUGGCGAAAGCGAGCUACUGGACAACUCCUGACGCUGAGGCUCGAAGGCCAGGGUAGCGAAAGGGAUUAGAAACCCCGGUAGUCC
Molecule: ribosomal RNA, 450 nt
Filed under: uncultured bacterium
Lineage: Bacteria
Description: bacterial SSU rRNA
Rfam family: Bacterial small subunit ribosomal RNA
Source: RNAcentral